GUGAAUGGAAACGGGUGUGGUGAAUUAAACAGGGGACUGUGAAGGAGACGCUAGUCAUGUGAUGAAUCAGAUAAUAAGGUUUGUAGUUUGUUAGUUGGUUAGGAUCUUGAGAAAUGAAGCUUGUGUAAUUAUUGAUUUCCAUUUAUGAUAUGAUUUCCUGAUGAUCAUGGGAAAUUGUGUUCAUGGCUUCAACUCAAUAUGGUAGAGGUAUGACAAGCUUCCUGUAGCUAAAAAGUGAAAUUGAAACGAAAUGACGAAGUGAAGAAAGAUAAAAAAAAUUGGAAAAAAGUAGAGGAGGAGACAGACAAAUGAGAGGAGUGAGACAGACCAAGAGAGAAGUGUAAAACACAGGUUAGAAGAGUUGCACGCUGGGACAGCCCAACGAGAAAAGAAAUGUAAGUAUAAAUCAUUUUUGUAAUGGUUAAAACAUGUUCAGCUUUCCUUUUACGAUUGUACGCUGGUUCUGGUUGACGGGGUACACUGGCACGUUUUGCUUCAAACUCCUGUAACCAUUUUAUUUGUUUUUUGUUAGUUUAUUUAACUGCCCCUAUGGUUUUUAUGUGGUGGUGCCAUUUUAUAUAUUUUGGACUGUUGUUUUUAUUUCUGUGUUCAACCUGGAGUAACCUGCAGUGCAUGUUUGUGGAUUGGACAAUUUUGUGCACCGUGUGUUUUGGAGAAUCAAUGCCGUCACGAAAUGGAAGCUGAGACUGAAGCAAGUGCAGGUUUUGCAGUGUAAUAACAACAAAGUCCAAGGAUAAAUCAGAAAUCCGUAGUCAAAAGACAGGCAGAGGUCAGGCAAACAGGCAAAACUAGGCAAGGCAGAGAAUCAAAGUCAAUAGAGUAAAUAAAGGUCAAAUAACAGAAUGGCAAACAUGAAUAAAAGGCUUGGACAACGACAGAGACUACGCAGCUGAGCAUAUAUUUCACAAAGUCUAAAUGCUCACAAAGUCUCUUAUAUGCGGUGUUUGUGAUUGUGUGUGAGAUCGGGUGCAGGUGUGUGUAAUUGGAGUUCCAGAGAAGGUGAAUGUGUGUGGGGGAAGUGUAGUCCAUGGCGGCCUUGUUUGUAGGCCGCAGUGCAGGAUGAGAGACUGAUGUAGUCACUGGUUUGCUGUGACAUGACAAAAUCCCCUCCCCAAAAUACACUCCCAAAAUACACUCCCUUUCCUGGUGGUCCAGGACCUCUGGGCAAAAUGUCUUCACAUGAACCGGGAGACUGAGCAGCAUCCACAGCUGAGCAAGAAGGCGGAGCACGAAGGCGGAGCGUCGUCCUCCAUCGAUUCUGCAGGCUGAACUUGGUUGGCUGUGUUAACAGACUCAAGCCUGAGCAGAACAUGGUUGGCCAGGUCAUCAGACUCGGGCAUAAGCAGAACAGGGUUGUCCUCUGCUGCCCGAUGGAGGCUGCUUCGCUUUCUGUCGCAGCGAAAGACAGUUCGCACAGGGGCCCAGGACCCCCGUUGGAGGGGGGUUCUUGGUGCUCCGGGAGGAGCACCCUUUGGAGGGGGGUUCUGUUACGCCACGGCCAGCAGAGGGCACUACGGUACGGCCGCUGACUGGUCACGUGACUCUUUUGUUUUCGUUCACUUCCCGCUUGGACACUGACUUAAGUCUCUGAUUUGCCCCAGGUGUUAAUGUCUUAGUUUAAUUAGGUUCGUUAUUUAAACCCCCCCGUGUGACUGCGCACAUCGCGCAGUAUUAAAGUUGGUUUAGUUCGUCAAGUGAGGGAAGUAUAUGGGUAUGUGCUAAUGUGUAGCAUGCUAGCGGUCGUAGCUAGGGGACCAGAGUGAGUAUAGUCCGUAGAGACCGCGCUCCCUGUGUUUGUUUAUCUGUUUGUUUGUUUCUUGUUUAAAUAAUAAAGACGGUGACCUGCACCUGCAUCCGCCUCCAGUCUCGUUCCGUAACACCCACAUCUUCAUCACAGAGUUUACACUUCUCUACUGUUUCUCACAAACACACAGUGUUUAUUCUAUUAUUAACGUGAGAGAGAAUAGAGAGGGAGAGAGAGAGAGAAUAAAGAGAGAGAAUAUUUGAGUAUAAUUGUGUGCUAUUAUAGGUCCAUCACGUAUUAAUCCAUACAUAUAAUAUUUACUAAACAAACUAGUCUGCAUUAUUUAUUUAAAACACAACAUUUAUCAAAUGCAUUGCUUGUUUAUACAAAUAAAAUGAAAGAACCUCUCUCCAUACCCAACUAUUUGGACUGAAAAUGUUCACACCUGUAGCUCGGCACUGGUGGGGCUAGUGAACCAAAACAUUCCCCAGUUGGUGUCUAAAACAAACUGAACUAAAACAAAGAGGUUUGUUUUUUUUCUUCACCAUGCGCUCGAUAUCACCUUCAUACACAGAUGUGCCUGUGACUUUCAGAUAUCAAGACAGAGCAAAACCACAUCCUGUUGAAUCUAGGACACGGUAGAAUGCCUUAGCAAGGUUUUCUUUUUUCCAUCCAAUUCACCAUUCUUUGUCUGUACCACUAGCCUGUAAGCUAUUUUUAUCAUGUCAGUAACAUAGGCCUAUAUCUAUAUAUAUCGCGAUAUAAAUUUUUUCAAUAACAGUGAUAUGAUUUUUAAACACAUUUCCGAUAUUUCGAUAUACAUUAAAACAUUUGUCACUGACUGACGUUCACGGCGCAGGAGUCAGUUUGUUGUAUUGAAGCCAAGGAGAAAGAGCAGAACACGAUUGGCUACAUGCGUGAUGACGUAAACCACAGGCAUGCAGCCAGUGCUCGGCAGUGUUGAAUUAAGCUCCAACACGGCAAGUUUUAGCUAUAAAAUGAGUACCCCUGACCACAAUACAAAUGCGACUGAGCGAGCUUCCACAAGUGAAGAGAAAGCAGACGAAAUAGUCGAUAAGAGAGGAAAGACUAAUUCAGUGGUAUGGAAGUGGUUUGGCUAUCUACGCUCUGAUAAACUUCAGGUUUCAGUGCGCUGCAAAAUGUGUCGGAGAGUGGUGCCAACUAGCAGCAGGAACACAUCAAAUCUGUUCCACCAUCUGAAGCAGUUCCACCCGAUAGAAUAUCCUGAGAGUCAGAAGAUGAGGUAUCAUAAAGGUUUAAGCCAACCCGUCUCUGAAAUAUCACCGCGACCCACAUCCCCAUCACCAGCUGUGUCAAAAGAGAAACCGAUGCAGCAAACGCGGAUCGCUGCAUUCAUGCCUCAUGACAAGCAGUCUAAAUGUUAUAAAGACAUUACUAAGGCUGUCACAAACUUUUUGGCUAAGGACAUGAUGCCGUUUAGUACGGUAGAAAAUGUAGGCUUCAGGAAAAUGAUGUCCGUCAUCGACCCCAGAUACGAGCUCCCUGGCCGGAGUUGAACAGAUGGAGAAGGCUACAAUGCUUUGGGCACCGACUGAACUCCGCUAUUGAGAUAGUUCACCAAGACAAGCGAGUGGACAGAAACUCUAGAGCUUGUCAUAGGGUGUCAUCAACCCCCAACAAUGUCCCGGCCCCAGCAACGUGCAGUUGUUAUUGCUCACACUUUCUGUUUUCUUCAGCAACUCUGAGCAUUUUUCAUAUAUUUUUUUUUAUCCUGGCUGAAGCACUUUAAUUUCAGUCUAUAAGAAUAAAAUAAUCAGCCUAUGUUGUAGUUUAAAGUGAAAGAUAUUAAUAUUGACAAAGGUGAGAGGUUUAUGUUUAUUUGACGGUGAUUUCACAUUUCUUGUUUGUAUGAAAGUUAAAUUCAAAUAAAAGGUGAACGUUCAUUUAUUUAUGCCAUUUUCAUUUCUAAAUUAUUAUAUAGUUUUAUAGAAGGAGAAGUUUACAGAAGUUUGAAGGUACAGACAUCUGUUGUGGGCGUCCUUGGCAGUUUUUCUGAGGAUUUAUAUUGUUCAUAUCGAUAUUGGAAUUAUAUCGUAUCGACUGAAAUUAAGAAAUAUAUCGUGAUAUACAUUUUGGCCAUAUCGCCCAGCCCUACAGUAACAUCAGUUUGGUUGAAGUAGAGGAAGCCUUUAUUUGUCACAUGUACUUUACAGCACAGUGAAAUUCUGUUCUUCGCAUAUCCCAGCCUGGUAGGAAGUGCAGAUAAUGGUGCUUUUAUCACAAACCGAUCAUCUUUUACAGCCUACAGCUAUUAGAUUCAUCUAACACCACAUUCCCAACUGUAGUGGUCUGUCAUGCACACAGGACAGUGAACACUAUGUUUAAUCCCUUUAUCACUAAUUGCAUUAGAGUGUAAAUAUAACUUAUAUUAAUAUGAAUUAUAUCACUCAUAGAUGCAAAGAUUAUAU
Ictalurus punctatus (channel catfish) is the source of this 4215-nucleotide long non-coding RNA. NCBI's taxonomy places the organism in Eukaryota, Metazoa, Chordata, Actinopteri, Siluriformes, Ictaluridae. The record is from Ensembl.